Molecule: long non-coding RNA, 1092 nt
Filed under: Oncorhynchus mykiss (rainbow trout)
Lineage: Eukaryota; Metazoa; Chordata; Actinopteri; Salmoniformes; Salmonidae
Description: lncRNA (ENSOMYG00000064103.1)
Source: RNAcentral
AUGGGCCGGCUAAGUCCCGAUCAGCCUUCUGCAUCUCUCUCUCUGCUUCAGUCUCUUGUGACUGAGAUGGGCCGGCUGACUCUGGAUCAGGCUCCUGCUUCUCUCUCUUCGCUUCAGUCUCUUGUGACUGAGAUGGGCCGGCUGACUCUGGAUCAGCCUCCUGCUUCUCUCUCUUUGCUUCAGUCUCUUCUGACUGAGAUGGGCCGACUGACUCUGGAACAGCCUCCUGCAUCUCUCUCUCUGCUUCAGUCUUCUCUGACUGAGAUGGGCCGGCUGAUUCUGGAUCAGCCUCCUCCAUCUCUAUCUCUGCUUCAGUCUCCUCUGACUGAUAUGGGCCGGCUGACUCUGGAUCAGGCUCCUGCUUCUCUCUCUUCGCUUCAGUCUCUUGUGACUGAGAUGGGUCGGCUGACUCUGGAUCAGCCUCCUGCUUCUCUCUCUUUGCUUCAGUCUCUUCUGACUGAGAUGGGCCAACUGACUCUGGAACAGCCUCCUGCAUCUCUCUCUUUGCUUCAGUCUCUUCUGACUGAGAUGGGCCAACUGACUCUGGAACAGCCUCCUGCAUCUCUCUCUUUGCUUCAGUCUCUUCUGACUGAGAUGGGCCGACUGACUCUGGAACAGCCUCCUGCAUCUCUCUCUCUGCUUCAGUCUUCUCUGACUGAGAUGGGCCGGCUGAUUCUGGAUCAGCCUCCUCCAUCUCUAUCUCUGCUUCAGUCUCCUCUGACUGAUAUGGGCCGGCUGACUCUGGAUCAGGCUCCUGCUUCUCUCUCUUCGCUUCAGUCUCUUGUGACUGAGAUGGGUCGGCUGACUCUGGAUCAGCCUCCUGCUUCUCUCUCUUUGCUUCAGUCUCUUCUGACUGAGAUGGGCCAACUGACUCUGGAACAGCCUCCUGCAUCUCUCUCUCUGCUUCAGUCUUCUCUGACUGAGAUGGGCCGGCUGAUUCUGGAUCAGCCUCCUCCAUCUCUAUCUCUGCUUCAGUCUCCUCUGACUGAUAUGGGCCGGCUGAUUCUGGAUCAGCCUCCUGCAUCUCUGUCUCUGCUUCAGUCUCCUGCGACUGAGAUUUUACAUAUCACCUUUCACAAACUCAUUAAUUAG